Molecule: ribosomal RNA, 294 nt
Filed under: Triticum aestivum (bread wheat)
Lineage: Eukaryota; Viridiplantae; Streptophyta; Magnoliopsida; Poales; Poaceae
Description: partial small subunit ribosomal RNA
Source: RNAcentral
AUGGCACACAAUAGAGCGCCCGGGCCGGACAACAUUCCUGUGGAAUUCUAUCAGGUGUGUUGGGAUAUCGUGAAGGAUGAUAUUAUGCUCCUGUUUGGACACUUUCAUAAAGGAGGAUUGGACGUACAACGCCUCAAUUAUGGAGUGAUUACUCUUCUCCCCAAAUUUGCGGGCGCAGACAAGAUUCAACAGUUCCGGCCGAUUUGCCUCCUGAGAUGUCCGUACAAACUUAUCACUAAGGUCCUAGAUAGGCGAGUUGAAAAAUAUGCUGAUAAGCUCAUAAAUAGGGCCUAG